Molecule: transfer RNA, 541 nt
Filed under: Violetonostoc minutum CHAB 5840
Lineage: Bacteria; Bacillati; Cyanobacteriota; Cyanophyceae; Nostocales; Nostocaceae
Description: Violetonostoc minutum CHAB5840 partial contains 16S ribosomal RNA and 16S-23S ribosomal RNA intergenic spacer
Rfam family: tRNA (bases 269-341)
Source: RNAcentral
UAGGGAGACCUAUCCACUCAGAUAUCGAGAAACACAAAGUUAUGUAGAUACAGAGUUGGUCACCCAAGGUCGGUCGCAGAAAUUUGUUGAAAGCUUUCAAACUAUGAUUUGGUUCGUAUUGGGGCUAUUAGCUCAGGUGGUUAGAGCGCACCCCUGAUAAGGGUGAGGUCCCUGGUUCGAGUCCAGGAUGGCCCACCUGAAGAAAGUGUGAAGUAUGAAGUCAAAAGAUUAUUUCAUCCUUCAAACUUUAGCUUUCAGACUUGGAUUGGGGGGUUUAGCUCAGUUGGUAGAGCGCCUGCUUUGCAAGCAGGAUGUCAGCGGUUCGAGUCCGCUAACCUCCACCUGUGGGAAAAUUCAGCAACAUGACAAACAUAUAUACUCAUUGUGUAAAGGUGUCAGACUGCUGGGUUGAACUCAGCCAGAACCAUGAAAACUGCAUAGUAACGCGAAAUUAGCAGGCAGACACAGACAUUCAAGUAAUGAAAGUGUUUGCAGUGGUGAACACCAAUGUAGUCUCAGGCGCCAAGCGUGAUGAGACAGU